Molecule: long non-coding RNA, 475 nt
Filed under: Brassica napus (rape)
Lineage: Eukaryota; Viridiplantae; Streptophyta; Magnoliopsida; Brassicales; Brassicaceae
Description: long non-coding RNA (BNAP_LNC015553)
Source: RNAcentral
CGGGGUGUAUGUUAAUUUUGUAGCCAAAUGUUUGAUAUAUGUUGAUACUGUUGAUAUUUGUUGAUAUCCUAAUUAGAAGUAAGUAUUCAGAUUUUAUGGGGAUGAAAUGGUGGUUAGUUUUGAUGUUUACUUUAGAAGUAUUUACUGGUUAGUUUUGAUAUUUACUUUAGAAGUAUUUAUUUAACAUUUACCAAAAAAAGUAUUUAUUGGUUAGUUUUUACUUACGUGAGUUCAUUUGGGGUGAAUUAUAAUUAUUUGAACUCCUAUUUGUUUUUUUUUUUUGAAACUUUGCUAACUCCUAUUUGUUUGUAAGACAAUUGUACUUGUUGUGAUUUUUGCGUGGUCUGAUUCUAUUUUAUUUUCUAAAAAAAAAAUAGUAAAUAGAAAGUGUUUAUUUAGGGAUUGCAUUUAUUUGGUAUUUUGAAAUAGAAAAUAAAAAAACUUUACAAAUAAUCAAAAUAAUAUAUAUAAUUAU